RNAcentral lists this ribosomal RNA (253 nucleotides) under uncultured bacterium. RNAcentral describes it as "partial 16S ribosomal RNA". It matches the Rfam family "Bacterial small subunit ribosomal RNA", at positions 524 to 776 of the family's 1533-position model. The record is from RNAcentral.
UACAGAGGUCUCAAGCGUUGUUCGGAUUCAUUGGGCGUAAAGGGCGCGUAGGCGGCGGGGUAAGUCGGGUGUGAAAUCUCAGGGCUCAACCCUGAAACUGCAUUCGAUACUGCGGUGCUUGAGGACUGGAGAGGAGACUGGAAUUCAUGGUGUAGCAGUGAAAUGCGUAGAGAUCAUGAGGAAGACCAGUGGCGAAGGCGGAUCUCUGGACAGUUCCUGACACUGAGACACGAAGGCCAGGGGAGCAAACGGG